AAGUCCCUCUGGUAUCCCUUGUCCCUCUUUGGCAACAAUUGUAAAAUAACUUUUACAAGAAAUCACAACAGAAGUGUAACUCAAAAAAACAACUAAGUGCAUUCACGUUGCGGUAUCAUGGUCAUCUACGUUCAUAUAAUUUGAAGAAAUCAUAAUUAAUAUCAAGUUGUUUUGUGGAAGAGUCGUCAUAAAGAAGAAGCAUAUUCAUGGUUUCAGAAGAUUAAACUAGUUUUAAAAUUUUAAGUAUUUUCAUGAAGAAAUUGUGACACCUUAUUGCAGGUAUUUCGAACAGGGGAUACUACUGUUGCCUUAAUAUAGCUUACUGAAAUAUUAAAUACAAUCCCACAAAUUUUUCUGAAUAUGCAUGUUAUGUUUGUAACUGGAUUGAUACAGCCGCCAAUUGAUCAAUCAUUCAUCACAAACAAACUCCUAUCAUUCAGAUCGAAUUUUAUCCUAAUUCUGUCUUAGGUUUUCAAGGCUUGGUGUGGUGGAAUCACAAACAAAAAUCCAUUCACUUUAUAGGCGGCUUCAGAUUGAAUUCAAACUAUGUUUUAUGUUACCAAGAAUUGAUGUCGUGGCCUAUCAUAGCUUGCUUUGUUUUAUGGAUUUUGCUGAUUGUUAAAAGUCGUACGGUAACAUAAUAGUUGAUAACUUCAAUGUUAAAAGGUCUGUAGUGGAUGCUUGCCUAAAUUGCCAUCACCCCACGUCUUCUUAUUUUUAUACACUGUACUUUACUCAUUGCAGCGUCAUUUAAUUAUGCGUUUCAAUAUACAAAUAUUUUCAGAAAUUUACAAC
RNAcentral lists this long non-coding RNA (795 nucleotides) under Mytilus galloprovincialis (Mediterranean mussel). The record is from RNAcentral. Lineage: Eukaryota; Metazoa; Mollusca; Bivalvia; Mytilida; Mytilidae.